AGCAGCCGCGGUAAUUCCAGCUCCAAUAGCGUAUAUUAAAGUUGCUGCAGUUAAAAAGCUCGUAGUUGAAUUUCGGGACCAUCAUGUCGGUCGUGCCUCGGUACGUACUGGCAUUGUUGGUUUCUACCUUCUGACGAACCAUGAUGUCAUUUAUUUGGUGUCGUGGGAAAUCAGGACUGUUACUUUGAAAAAAUUAGAGUGUUUAAAGCAGGCUCACGCUUGAAUACAUUAGCAUGGAAUAAUGAAAUAGGACGUUUGAUUCUAUUUUGUUGGUUUCUAGGAUCGACGUAAUGAUUAAUAGGGAUAGUUGGGGGCAUUAGUAUUCAAUUGUCAGAGGUGAAAUUCUUGGAUUUAUUGAAGACUAACUACUGCGAAAGCAUUUGCCAAGGAUGUUUUCAUUAAUCAAGAACGAAAGUUAGGGGAUCGAAGACGAUCAGAUACCGUCGUAGUCUUAACCAUAAACUAUGCCGACUAGGGAUCGGAUGAUGUUAAUUUUUUAAUGACUCA
Molecule: ribosomal RNA, 507 nt
Filed under: Glomus sp. Glo53
Lineage: Eukaryota; Fungi; Glomeromycota; Glomeromycetes; Glomerales; Glomeraceae
Also listed under: 1 other name
Description: SSU rRNA
Rfam family: Eukaryotic small subunit ribosomal RNA
Source: RNAcentral